AAAUCACUCCUAAGUGUGCUUUG
Molecule: non-coding RNA, 23 nt
Filed under: Arabidopsis thaliana (thale cress)
Lineage: Eukaryota; Viridiplantae; Streptophyta; Magnoliopsida; Brassicales; Brassicaceae
Source: RNAcentral